GAGGAAAGUCCGGGCUCCACAGGGCAUGGUGCUGGAUAACGUCCAGCGAGGGUGACCUCAGGGAAAGUGCCACAGAGAGAAGUCCGCCGUCCAAAACUGAAGCCAAGGGGGCCUGCCCCCCGAAGCUUUAGCGAAGGGGGGUAAGGGUGAAAGGGUGAGGUAAGAGCUCACCGGGUUCGGCGGCGACGCCGGAUGCCAGGUAAACCCCACCAGGAGCAAGACCAAAUAGGGAAGCGUUAAGGACGGCCCGUCCGUGCUUCCGGGUUGGUUGCUUGAGGGCGUCGGUAACGGCGCUCCUAGAUGAAUGACCAUCGCCCGCCUCCGGGUAACCGGCUGCGGGAACAGAACCCGGCUUA
RNAcentral lists this RNase P RNA (356 nucleotides) under Geobacter sp. M21. RNAcentral's name for it is "RNA component of RNaseP". It matches the Rfam family "Bacterial RNase P class A", at positions 43 to 351 of the family's 367-position model. Rfam says of the family: Ribonuclease P (RNase P) is a ubiquitous endoribonuclease, found in archaea, bacteria and eukarya as well as chloroplasts and mitochondria. Its best characterised activity is the generation of mature 5'-ends of tRNAs by cleaving the 5'-leader elements of precursor-tRNAs. Lineage: Bacteria; Pseudomonadati; Thermodesulfobacteriota; Desulfuromonadia; Geobacterales; Geobacteraceae. The record is from RNAcentral.